This 253-nucleotide ribosomal RNA is filed under the name uncultured bacterium. Its description in RNAcentral is "partial 16S ribosomal RNA". It matches the Rfam family "Bacterial small subunit ribosomal RNA", at positions 524 to 776 of the family's 1533-position model. The record is from RNAcentral.
UACGUAGGUGGCAAGCGUUGUCCGGAUUUAUUGGGUUUAAAGGGUGCGUAGGCGGUCUAUUAAGUCAGUGGUGAAAUACUCUAGCUCAACUAGAGGGGUGCCAUUGAUACUGAUGGACUUGAGUACAGAUGAGGUAGGCGGAAUUGACGGUGUAGCGGUGAAAUGCUUAGAUAUCGUCAAGAACACCUAUAGCGAAGGCAGCUUACUAGGCUGUAACUGACGCUGAGGCACGAAAGCGUGGGGAUCAAACAGG